This 713-nucleotide long non-coding RNA is filed under the name Anser brachyrhynchus (Pink-footed goose). RNAcentral describes it as "lncRNA (ENSABRG00000009430.1)". The record is from RNAcentral. Lineage: Eukaryota; Metazoa; Chordata; Aves; Anseriformes; Anatidae.
GGUGUCACCAAGGCACCACUCACCCAAGCCCUCUGCUGCUGACGACCAUCAGGCAACAGCAGCAUUGGUCCAUCCCAUUCCCAGUCUUUUAUCCGAGAUCCCACAGUCUUGAGAGGACCAAGAUAUUCUGCCUAACGAAGUCACCGGACCCAACACCUGGGUGAAAUCUGACGGUGCGUGGCUGCCAGGCCAGGCACUGGUCAGUCACUGGCUCACCACCCUCGCACACGUGUGCACACAACCAGGCCAAGAGAGGAAAUGAAUCAUUUGCAAUGAGAGAUCACAGUUGCAGGAUUCUUAUCUUGAACACGAACGUGCACAUCUUCAGGAGCUACACAGAGCCUGGCAAGGCAAAAGAAAUCUUGGCCAACUCAGGGACCUGAAAACAAGAUUUCCUGGGCAUCAGGAACAAGUUUGCGUCUGGUGGCAUUGGAGCUUUUCACGCAGCCAAGCAGGAGGGAGAAGAGCUGACAAAACCCACAAAAUCACACCUCCUGUACAAGCCCAAGGGCAUUCGGGUGCCUAAUGUAAGCGCCACAGCUGUUUUUCUCCGCUAACUGUACCAAAUACCUUGCAGCCGUGGAGAAGUGACCCAAAUCUCUUGCGGCUGUAUGCUACAGCAGUUGUCUGUGUGCAGUGCCAGCAGCGGGCUGGAUGCGGCCCAUAAGCUCCGGUCUGCCGUGCUCAGGAGUCUUGUCUCUACAGUUCUCUGC